AGCGAACGCUGGCGGUAGGCCUAACACAUGCAAGUCGAACGGCAGCACAGUAAGAGCUUGCUCUUACGGGUGGCGAGUCGCGGACGGGUGAGGAAUACAUCGGAAUCUACUUUUUCGUGGGGGAUAACGUAGGUAAACUUACGCUAAUACCGCAUACGACCUACGGGUGAAAGCAGGGGAUCUUCGGACCUUGCGCGAUUGAAUGAGCCGAUGUGGGAUUUGCUAGUUGGGGGGGUAAAGGCCCACCAAGUGGCCGAGCGGUAGCCGGUCUGUGUGGAUGGUCGGCGACACUGGAGGUGAGACGGGGUCAAGGCUCCUACGGGAGGGAGCAGAGGGGAAUAUUGGACAAUAGGCGCAAGCCUGAUCCAGCCGUACCGAGUGGGUGGAGGAGACCUUCGGGUUGUAAAGCCCGUUUGUUGGGAAAGAAAAGCAGCAGGUUAAUACCCCGCUGGUCUGACGGUACCCAAAGAAUAAGCACCGGCUAACUUCGUG
RNAcentral lists this ribosomal RNA (492 nucleotides) under uncultured bacterium. RNAcentral's name for it is "partial 16S ribosomal RNA". It matches the Rfam family "Bacterial small subunit ribosomal RNA", at positions 29 to 507 of the family's 1533-position model. The record is from RNAcentral.